AGAGUUUGAUCAUGGCUCAGAACGAACGCUGGCGGCAUGCCUAACACAUGCAAGUCGAACGCUUUUGGGGUUUCGGCCUCAAGGGAGUGGCGCACGGGUGAGUAGCGCGUGGGAACCUGCCCUGUUGUGGGGGAUAACCGAGGGAAACUUCGGCUAAUACCGCAUGCGCCCGGGGAAACCCGGGGAAAGAUUUAUCGCAGCAGGAGGGGCCCGCGUCGGAUUAGCUAGUUGGUGGGGUAACGGCCUACCAAGGCAUCGAUCCGUAGCUGGUCUGAGAGGAUGAUCAGCCACACUGGGACUGAGACACGGCCCAGACUCCUACGGGAGGCAGCAGUGGGGAAUAUUGGACAAUGGGCGCAAGCCUGAUCCAGCAAUGCCGCGUGAGUGAUGAAGGCCUUAGGGUUGUAAAGCUCUUUCGGCGGGGAAGAUAAUGACGGUACCCGCAGAAGAAGCCCCGGCUAACUUCGUGCCAGCAGCCGCGGUAAUACGAAGGGGGCGAGCGUUGUUCGGAUUUACUGGGCGUAAAGGGCGCGUAGGCGGCGGACCAAGUCGAGUGUGAAAGCCCCGGGCUCAACCUGGGAGGUGCGCUCGAGACUGGCCCGCUGGAGUUCGGGAGAGGAGCGUGGAAUUCCCAGUGUAGAGGUGAAAUUCGUAGAUAUUGGGAAGAACACCGGUGGCGAAGGCGGCGCUCUGGACCGAGACUGACGCUGAGGCGCGAAGGCGUGGGGAGCAAACAGGAUUAGAUACCCUAGUAGUCC
Molecule: ribosomal RNA, 758 nt
Filed under: uncultured bacterium
Lineage: Bacteria
Description: bacterial SSU rRNA
Rfam family: Bacterial small subunit ribosomal RNA
Source: RNAcentral